GAUGAACGCUAGCGGGAGGCCUAACACAUGCAAGCCGAGCGGUAUUGUUUCUUCGGAAAUGAGAGAGCGGCGUACGGGUGCGUAACACGUGUGCAACCUGCCUUUAUCUGGGGGAGAGCCUUUCGAAAGGAAGAUUAAUACUCCAUAAUAUAUUGAACGGCAUCGUUUAAUAUUGAAAGCUCAGGCGGAUAGAGAUGGGCACGCGCAAGAUUGGCUAGUUGGUGAGGUAACGGCUCACCAAGGCGAUGAUCUUUAGGGGGCCUGAGAGGGUGAUCCCCCACACUGGUACUGAGACACGGACCAGACUCCUACGGGAGGCAGCAGUGAGGAAUAUUGGUCGAUGGGUGCAAGCCUGAACCAGCCAUCCCGCGUGAAGGACGACUGCCCUAUGGGUUGUAAACUUCUUUUGUAUAGGGAUAAACCUACCCUCGUGAGGGUAGCUGAAGGUACUAUACGAAUAAGCACCGGCUAACUCCGUGCCAGCCGCCGCAGUAA
RNAcentral lists this ribosomal RNA (495 nucleotides) under uncultured bacterium. RNAcentral describes it as "partial 16S ribosomal RNA". It matches the Rfam family "Bacterial small subunit ribosomal RNA", at positions 28 to 523 of the family's 1533-position model. The record is from RNAcentral.